ACUACGGGAGGCAGCAGUAGGGAAUAUUGCUCAAUGGGGGAAACCCUGAAGCAGCAACGCCGCGUGAAGGAUGAAGGUCUUAGGAUUGUAAACCCCUUUUUUUAGAGAAGAAAAGUACGGUAUCUGAGGAAUAAUCCCCGGCCAACUCCGUUCCAGCAGCCGCGGUUAUACGGCGGGGGCAAGCGUUAUUCGGAUUUACUGGGCGUUAAGGGGGCGCAGGCGGGGUUUUAAGUCUGUUGUGAAAUCCUGAAGCUAAACUGCAGAAGUGCAGUUGAAACUGGGAGUCUGGAGUGUGGGCGAGGUAGGUGGAAUUCUUGGUGUAGCGGUGAAAUGCGUAGAUAUCAAGAGGAACACCGAUGGCGAAGGCGGCCUACUGGACCGUGACUGACGCUGAUGCACGAAAGCGUGGGGAGCAAACAGGAUUAGAUACCCUAGUAGUC
RNAcentral lists this ribosomal RNA (440 nucleotides) under uncultured bacterium. Its description in RNAcentral is "partial 16S ribosomal RNA". It matches the Rfam family "Bacterial small subunit ribosomal RNA", at positions 338 to 795 of the family's 1533-position model. The record is from RNAcentral.